This 400-nucleotide unclassified non-coding RNA is filed under the name soil metagenome. RNAcentral's name for it is "partial contains 5.8S ribosomal RNA, internal transcribed spacer 2, and large subunit ribosomal RNA". The stretch from base 1 to 122 matches the Rfam family "5.8S ribosomal RNA", at positions 35 to 154 of the family's 154-position model. The record is from RNAcentral.
GAUGAAGAACGCAGCGAAAUGCGAUACUUGGUGUGAAUUGCAGAAUCCCGUGAACCAUCGAGUCUUUGAACGCAAGUUGCGCCUCAAGCCAUUAGGUUGAGGGCACGUCUGCCUGGGCGUCACAUAUCGUUGCCUGAUGCCAGUUUCCUCGUGAUGGGUGACUGUGCAGGGCGAAUGAUGGCUUCCCGUGAGCAUUGUUGCCUCAUGGUUGGUUGAAAAUUGAGUCCUUGGUAGGGAGCGCAGUGAUAGAUGGUGGUUGAGUGACGAACGAGACCCAAUCAUGUGAGACCCCUACCGAAUUUGGCCUUCAUGACCCACAUGCGUCUUUGGAACGCUCAUGACGAGACCUCAGGUCAGGCGGGGCUACCCGCUGAGUUUAAGCAUAUCAAUAAGCGGAGGA